GAUGAACGCUGGCGGCGUGCCUAAUACAUGCAAGUCGAGCGAACAGACGAGGAGCUUGCUCCUUUGACGUUAGCGGCGGACGGGUGAGUAACACGUGGAUAACCUACCUAUAAGACUGGGAUAACUUCGGGAAACCGGAGCUAAUACCGGAUAACAUUUUGAACCGCAUGGUUCUACAGUGAAAGAUGGUCUUGCUGUCACUUAUAGAUGGAUCCGCGCCGCAUUAGCUAGUUGGUAAGGUAACGGCUUACCAAGGCAACGAUGCGUAGCCGACCUGAGAGGGUGAUCGGCCACACUGGAACUGAGACACGGUCCAGACUCCUACGGGAGGCAGCAGUAGGGAAUCUUCCGCAAUGGGCGAAAGCCUGACGGAGCAACGCCGCGUGAGUGAAGAAGGUCUUCGGAUCGUAAAACUCUGUUAUUAGGGAAGAACAAAUGUGUAAGUAACUAUGCACGUCUUGACGGUACCUAAUCAGAAAGCCACGGCUAACUACGUG
RNAcentral lists this ribosomal RNA (497 nucleotides) under uncultured bacterium. RNAcentral's name for it is "partial 16S ribosomal RNA". It matches the Rfam family "Bacterial small subunit ribosomal RNA", at positions 28 to 507 of the family's 1533-position model. The record is from RNAcentral.